UACGGGGGGAGCAAGCGUUGUUCGGAUUUACUGGGCGUAAAGGGCGCGUAGGCGGCGCGACAAGUCACUUGUGAAAUCUCCGGGCUUAACCCGGAGCGGCCAAGUGAUACUGUAGUGCUAGAGUGCGGAAGGGGCUACUGGAAUUCUCGGUGUAGCGGUGAAAUGCGUAGAUAUCGAGAGGAACACCUGCGGCGAAGGCGGGUAGCUGGGCCGACACUGACGCUGAGGCGCGAAGGCCAGGGGAGCAAACGGG
RNAcentral lists this ribosomal RNA (253 nucleotides) under uncultured bacterium. RNAcentral's name for it is "partial 16S ribosomal RNA". It matches the Rfam family "Bacterial small subunit ribosomal RNA", at positions 524 to 776 of the family's 1533-position model. The record is from RNAcentral.